This 253-nucleotide ribosomal RNA is filed under the name uncultured bacterium. RNAcentral describes it as "partial 16S ribosomal RNA". It matches the Rfam family "Bacterial small subunit ribosomal RNA", at positions 524 to 776 of the family's 1533-position model. The record is from RNAcentral.
UACGGAGGGUGCAAACGUUGCUCGGAAUCAUUGGGCGUAAAGCGCACGUAGGCGGUUCGGUAAGUCGGGUGUGAAAGCCCUCGGCUCAACUGAGGAAGUGCAUUCGAAACUACCGGACUUGAGUAUGGAAGAGGGUCGCGGAAUUCCCGGUGUAGAGGUGAAAUUCGUAGAUAUCGGGAGGAACACCAGUGGCGAAGGCGGCGACCUGGGCCAAUACUGACGCUGAGGUGCGAAAGCGUGGGGAGCAAACAGG